Molecule: transfer RNA, 91 nt
Filed under: Oscillospiraceae bacterium
Lineage: Bacteria; Bacillati; Bacillota; Clostridia; Eubacteriales; Oscillospiraceae
Description: tRNA-Ser
Rfam family: tRNA
About the family: Transfer RNA (tRNA) molecules are approximately 80 nucleotides in length. Their secondary structure includes four short double-helical elements and three loops (D, anti-codon, and T loops). Further hydrogen bonds mediate the characteristic L-shaped molecular structure. tRNAs have two regions of fundamental functional importance: the anti-codon, which is responsible for specific mRNA codon recognition, and the 3' end, to which the tRNAs corresponding amino acid is attached (by aminoacyl-tRNA synthetases). tRNAs cope with the degeneracy of the genetic code in two manners: having more than one tRNA (with a specific anti-codon) for a particular amino acid; and 'wobble' base-pairing, i.e. permitting non-standard base-pairing at the 3rd anti-codon position.
Source: RNAcentral
GGAGAGAUGUCCGAGCUGGUCUAAGGGGCACGAUUGGAAAUCGUGUGAGGCUUAACCGCCUCCCAGGGUUCGAAUCCCUGUCUCUCCGCCA